CUGCGGAGGGAUCAUUACAAGUGACCCCGGUCUAACCACCGGGAUGUUCAUAACCCUUUGUUGUCCGACUCUGUUGCCUCCGGGGCGACCCUGCCUUCGGGCGGGGGCUCCGGGUGGACACUUCAAACUCUUGCGUAACUUUGCAGUCUGAGUAAACUUAAUUAAUAAAUUAAAACUUUUAACAACGGAUCUCUUGGUUCUGGCAUCGAUGAAGAACGCAGCGAAAUGCGAUAAGUAAUGUGAAUUGCAGAAUUCAGUGAAUCAUCGAAUCUUUGAACGCACAUUGCGCCCCCUGGUAUUCCGGGGGGCAUGCCUGUUCGAGCGUCAUUUCACCACUCAAGCCUCGCUUGGUAUUGGGCAACGCGGUCCGCCGCGUGCCUCAAAUCGACCGGCUGGGUCUUCUGUCCCCUAAGCGUUGUGGAAACUAUUCGCUAAAGGGUGCUCGGGAGGCUACGCCGUAAAACAAACCCAUUUCUAAGGUUGACCUCGGAUCAGGUAGGGAUACCCGCUGAACUUAAGCAUAUCAAUAAGCGGAGGA
Molecule: ribosomal RNA, 538 nt
Filed under: Cladosporium sp. Macof 07
Lineage: Eukaryota; Fungi; Ascomycota; Dothideomycetes; Cladosporiales; Cladosporiaceae
Description: eukaryotic LSU rRNA
Rfam family: 5.8S ribosomal RNA (bases 174-327)
Source: RNAcentral